Molecule: long non-coding RNA, 203 nt
Organism: Cervus elaphus (red deer)
Lineage: Eukaryota; Metazoa; Chordata; Mammalia; Artiodactyla; Cervidae
Exons: 3
Source: RefSeq, a predicted model, not a curated record
GAUCUCUGGUUCCUCUGCCUUUUCUAAAUCCAACUUGUACAUCUGGAAGUUCUUGGUUCAGGUACUGUUGAAGCCUAGCGUGAAGGAUUUUGAGCGUUACCUUGCUAGCAUAUGAUAUGAGCACAGUUGUGCAGCAGUUUGAGCAUUCUCUGGGGUUGCCUUUCUUAGGGAUUGGAAUGAAAACGGAACUUUUCCAGUCCUGU